CCUACGGGAGGCAGCAGUGAGGAAUAUUGGUCAAUGGGCGCUAGCCUGAACCAGCCACGUAGCGUGAAGGAUGAAUGCCCUAUGGGUUGUAAACUUCUUUUAUAUGGAAAUAAAGUGCAGUAUGUAUACUGCUUUGCAUGUACCUUAUGAAUAAGGAUCGGCUAACUCCGUGCCAGCAGCCGCGGUAAUACGGAGGAUUCGAGCGUUAUCCGGAUUUAUUGGGUUUAAAGGGAGCGUAGGCGGGUUGUUAAGUCAGUUGUGAAAGUUUGUGGAUCAACCGUAAAAUUGCAGUUGAUACUGGCAGCCUUGAGUACAGUAGGGGCAAGCGGAAUUCGUGGUGUAGCGGUGGAAUGCUUAGAUAUCACGAAGAACUCCGAUUGCGAAGGCAGCCUGCUGGACUGUAACUGACGCUGAUGCUCGAAAGUGUGGGUAUCAAACAGGAUUAGAUACCCCUGUAGUC
This 460-nucleotide ribosomal RNA is filed under the name uncultured bacterium. RNAcentral's name for it is "partial 16S ribosomal RNA". It matches the Rfam family "Bacterial small subunit ribosomal RNA", at positions 338 to 795 of the family's 1533-position model. The record is from RNAcentral.